GUUCCUCCAUGACUGUUUCUUUAAGAGCACCAACAAUUACAAGUUAAUUAAAACUAGUGUCAAGAAAUAAGAAAAACUAAGGGCUUGAAGCCAUAGUUGAGUAAAUAGAUGUAAACACUUUAAGAGGUAUUUAAUCAAACACUUAGAAUGCAAUAAGAAACACACUAGAAAGCAAUACCCAAAGCACCAAAAUCAAUCCUAACAACACACAGUUUAGCAAAGAUCACUAUGCAUCUUCGAAAUGCAGUACCCAUAAAGCAAAAAAAAAAAAAAAAAGAAAUUAAACUGAUACAUUUAUAAGAAAUGAAGAAAUAGAAACAAAGACACUUAUUUUAGAUUCGGAAGCGGAAAGAAAGUAAAAUUUUUUUAAUACAUAUUCUGAAGGAAGAACUAUAUUUGGCACAUUAAAUUUGUGAAUUCUUGCAGUAGGCAGUGGAGAAACAUCUUGGAACUCCUUCACCAUGGAUGAUAAAUGUAAACAAGAAAUCUAUUUGUCAAAAUUGACAAUAGAUAACCAUUACUUUGAAGAUAUGGAAGUGGAAACGUACAAAUAGGUGAUAAUUUCUAAAUUUGGAUAAGAAUAUUUGAAUUUGAAGAGAAUUAAAAGAGAAGAAGAGUAGAGAAGUCGCCCCAAAAAAAAAAAAAAAAAAAAAAAGAAAAGGAAGAAGAAGAAGACGACUAGAAGGAAAUAGAAAGAAAAAGAUAUAGCGUGAAGCCACGCGCUUUUAAUUGCUGGGAAUGACCACGCAAGGUCAUA
Molecule: long non-coding RNA, 757 nt
Filed under: Jatropha curcas
Lineage: Eukaryota; Viridiplantae; Streptophyta; Magnoliopsida; Malpighiales; Euphorbiaceae
Description: long non-coding RNA (JCUR_LNC000733)
Source: RNAcentral